UAACCUUAUUUUUUGUAGUAAUUACAUAGGUAUGCCAUUAGAAAUAAAAAUUUAAAGAGUAAAUUAAUUCAUCUU
RNAcentral lists this small RNA (75 nucleotides) under Arabidopsis thaliana (thale cress). RNAcentral describes it as "ATSL151260". The record is from RNAcentral. Lineage: Eukaryota; Viridiplantae; Streptophyta; Magnoliopsida; Brassicales; Brassicaceae.